This is a non-coding RNA of Dermacentor andersoni, 1669 nucleotides long. Lineage: Eukaryota; Metazoa; Arthropoda; Arachnida; Ixodida; Ixodidae. The record is from RefSeq and is a predicted model, not a curated record.
UCUAUAUGCAAAGAGUACUGCUUUUGUGGGUGUAGGUAUUCAGCUUGCGUGGGUCACCCUGAGGCUCUGCUUGGGUUCACGUUACUAUGUUACGGUCACUCGAGCCUCCCCUGCCGCAGUUGGCAGUGUGGUCAAUUGCCACACGUUACCGCCUCGGCCGUUGUAAAUUGAGAAGCGCGAUGCCGUUCGCAGUGGCAGGUCGCGGGCGCUCUCUGUGAAUCAGAUGUGCGGACGCCACACAUAAGAGGUACCACAGUCGACAACUGAUGGCGCUUCUCUGAUUUUCAAGUUUCGUCAUUUUCUCGUUUACAAAAGCUCUGUAUUUACGACGAAUGAAGAAUUCGUAAUGGCAGAAGCAUAAUCUUUCAAUUUAGCUCGACUUAAUACUCGCCUUUAGUGCCCCUUUAGCACACCAGGGGCUAUAAAUCUAGUAGACACACAAAUACUCAAGAAAGUGCAUGGGAACAAAGCCAUCACGGUAGUUCAAUGAUGAAGCAUUACGCGCAUAAUGCGGAAGGUGUGGGUUCGGCUCUCACUAGCGCCAAGUCGACUUUUUCUCCAAUUUAAUUUCUUUUUUAUGAUUAUUUUCAUAGUUCAAUCAAAAUAAACAGGUAACUUUUCCUGUGCCUUUUCUGGCUUCAUUGCCUGUGGGCUUUAUGUAGUUGUAGCUAACAAAAUGUCCAAUAAUGUUUGGAAACGGAAUAUUUAGGGCAGCGCAUCAGCAUAAAAAAGAAGAAAGAAAAAGCUCAGACACUACUGAGAGUAGGUGUAAACCUUAAAGUGAAAGCGGUUUUUCACAGAAGUUAUUCUUGUCCCAGGACAGCCGGCAGCGGAAGAACAGCCAACGGAAAACGAAGCCGUGAAGCAGUCGCCGCCACACGCGAAAGCACUCUUCACUGCAACUGUUGGAGCAUCGCUUGUUCUGUUUCUCUGCCUUGGAGGGAUAGUGUUCUACCUGAAGAUGGAUGACAAUGGUGAUGUGGCAGCCGGCCCUUCUACGAGGUUUACUGGGUUGCCCCCAAAGCGAGAUACACAAAGGGUGCCUACCAUUCCCCAGAGCUCUGAGCCUAGCACACCCUCUUCAGAGACAGGUACUCCACCGACCCCACCAACCGGAGGCAAUCAAUCGAGUCUGCACGAAGUUCUGCAAGCCGAAGACAACGACGAGGAGUGAAUCGCAGGACACUUGUUCGCGUAGCUUAUGAACAAAUUUACUAUAAUUUUUUGCGCAUUACUAUUUUCAAUAUUUAACGAUUUUAUAUAGAUCUACUUUGUCCAUAUAUAUAAACUGUUAUUAACUGUCACGAUGCCAUUUUCCAGGUAGCCAUGCUACUGUGAUAAUGUCAUGGAAAUGAGGAGGCACAUCGAAAAUGUUGUCCAAGGAACUUCUUUGGAGGUUAUAUUUAUAGGGUUAAAUAUCAUUGUAAUAAUAUCAACGUAUUGUUUGCUAUUUUGACGUGCUUACUGCACGUCCCUUUGCACCAAAUGUGCUUCUUAUUCUCUUAAUAGGAAACGAGGAUGGAGAUGCAUAGACUAUCGACAGUUCGUGGAAGAUUUUGACAUGUUAUCUUAGCUGCUUAUGCAGUACACGCAAACAAAGCCUGUGAUGGUAUCACAAAGGUAAAGUGCUAACAGUAUUCGUUUUCCACUCGACAGGCUCUUGAUUUUA